GAUGAACGUUGGCGGCGUGCCUAACACAUGCAAGUCGAACGCUAGUAGCAAUAUUAGAGUGGCGCACGGGUGAGUAACACGUAGCUUAUCUACCUCCCAGCGCGGGAUAACGGUUCGAAAGAACUGCUAAUACCGCAUAAGCUCACGAGCUAUAGAGGCUGGUGAGAAAAGGCUUAGGUCACUGGGAGCGGGGGCUGCGGCCCAUCAGCUAGUUGGUGAGGAACGGCUUACCAAGGCGACGACGGGUAGGGGACCUGAGAGGGUGACCCCC
RNAcentral lists this ribosomal RNA (271 nucleotides) under uncultured bacterium. RNAcentral's name for it is "partial 16S ribosomal RNA". It matches the Rfam family "Bacterial small subunit ribosomal RNA", at positions 28 to 308 of the family's 1533-position model. The record is from RNAcentral.